Molecule: long non-coding RNA, 6592 nt
Filed under: Canis lupus familiaris (dog)
Lineage: Eukaryota; Metazoa; Chordata; Mammalia; Carnivora; Canidae
Description: lncRNA (ENSCAFG00000055648.1)
Source: RNAcentral
AGUCUCUGCUUCAUUUGAAAAAUAUCUGCUAUAAAAUGGGAGACUAACGUUUUUGUUUUGUUUUGUUUUCAAAUGGUCACCCCAAAUUGAAAGAUGUUUUUUUCCUUUCUCCAUUGAUUUGUAAUGCCAGUUAUACAAUCUUGGGUAAAUCACAGAAUACUUCAACUUCAAAAGGGGAUUAGUGCAAGUCUUUCCAUUUCUGAGAGCAAAUGUGUUAACAUAUAUAAAACUUGGAAAAUACUUUAAGCAAUCUAUGAGUGUUAGCUUUCACUAGCAUUUAUUAUUCUCAACCACCUAUUUAACUUUAGAAUAACUAGAAAGUUUGAGAUAUUUGUGAGUUUUGUUGGAAAGGCAUAGGAUUUACAAACUAAGUUGGAAAGAACUAAUGUUUACAAUAUUCAUGGAAUGGGCAUAUCUCCAGUUAUGAAGAGAGAGACUUAAGUCUUAUACAAUUUUUAAUUCUUUUAUGUAAAUAAUGCUAAUCUCCAUUAAAGACUGUUGCCAGACUCAAAAAUAUAUUUUCUUUAUAAUUUUUACCUCUUUUUUUGCUAUGUAGAAAAAGUGCCGAUUUUUAAAUAUUCAUUUUAUAUAAGUAGCCAAAUAAAAACUUUUCUUACUAGUUGUAACUGAUUUUUUUGUUUGUUUCUGGUAAUCGUUUUCUCUUGAAUUUUCUAUGUUGCCAUCUUUUAUUUUAAUAGAGAUCACUCGGUCUCCCCUUAUCCAGUAGCUCUUUCAUAUCCUGUUAUCUAAGAUUUCCUGGAAUACAGCAAACAGUAUUUCUCACAGCAAACAUCUUUACCUCGUUUCUGAUUUAAUAAAAAUGCUUCUAGGUUUUCAUUGUUAUGAGUGACAUUAUUCAUUGAUUUUCCUUAACUUGCAAGAAAAUUUAAAGUUUAACAAGAUGUUUUGAAUAACAUCAUAUAUCAUUUUGAGAUCUAGUGAGGUGAACAAUGGUUUCAAGAAACAAAUUUCUAAAUUAAAUUAUGCAUCCCUAGAAUAAACUUGCCUUUAUAUAUUCUAUUUAUAUAUACUGAUGAUUUUAUUAUUAUUUUAUUCUGAAUUUCCAUCUUUAUAGAGUUUUGUUGCUGUUUUCUCAAGUUUGGGUACCAUGAUUAUGUAACUCUGCAACACGAGACAGGCAUUUGUUUUUCCCAUAAUUUUUCUGGUCUUUUAAAAAGUUAAUAUGAGAAAUAACUCUACUUUAGUAUUUUCAAAUAAAUUAUAUGUUCUCAUUCAUGUGGGGAAUAUAAAUAAUAGUGAAAGGGAAUAUAAGGGAAGGGAGAAGAAAUGUGUGGGAAAUAUCAGAAAGGGAGACAGAACGUAAAGACUGCUAACUCUGGGAAACAAACUAGGGGUGGUAGAAGGGGAGGAGGGCGGGGAAUGGGAGUGAAUGGGUGACGGGCACUGGGGGUUAUUCUGUAUGUUGGUAAAUUGAACACCAAUAAAAAAUAAAUUAAAAAAAUAAAUAAACUACCUAUAAAACCAUGUAGUGCAAGGACCUUUUAAGAGAUAAUUUUUUGAUAUUUCAAAAAAUUUUUUGAAUUUUCAAGUUUUUAUUUUCAAUAUUCAUAAAUUUAAUCCUUGAGCUUUGAUAAUUACACUUUCCUAAGAAAAUCAUCCUCUGGGAUUUUAAAUGUACGUUAUCUGCCAUUUCAUUACUAUUCAAAGGAUCUGGUUAUUUUCACAUUUAUUACACAGAGUCCUAAGUCACAACUAAAGUUUACAUGAUCUUAAACAUAACUUUUUCAAAGAAGAUGCCACAUAAGUAUCAGAAGACUUUAUUUUCUGUAAUUUUACUGAAUUUCUUCCCUAGAUUCACUGGUGGAGCCUACAGUCUUCUAAAAACUAUUUAUGUAACAUUUUGAAUGCUCUAGGACUAUUUUUUCAAAUACUAAAUGAGCUAGAAGUUGCAAUUCAUAUAUAAUGGCAAUAUUGGAACCUUAACAUAUUUUAAAUUAAAAUGAUUUAUAUUCAUUUUAAAACCAAAUUCAAUUAAGAUGAAAUAACUGGGUAAUGUCACUUUUGUAAAAAUGCAUUAAAUCAUAUUCUUUCAUUAAAAUAUUUUAUACAUUUUGAAUACAAAGUGAAAAACAGAAGGAAAGAGAUAAUAAAAUAACAGCAGAAAUUAAUUAACUGAAAACAAAUAAUAUAGAAAAUCUUUGGAUAAAAAACAUAAUAGACAAAUGUCUAGAAUUUUUAAUUAAAAAUAGAAAACAAAAUAUUUAACAUUAUGAAUGUUAUUGGAGCUACGACUACUGAUAAGAUUAAAAACUUUGUAAAGCCCAUUAGGAUACACUUGGAAUCUUAAAUUGGAUGAGUUUCUUAAGAAAUUAUAAUUAUCAAAAUUCACUGAGAUUAAAUUGAUACAUACUUAAAAACAAAAAUUAAAAUACCAAAGAAUUACCUCUUAAAAUGUUAUCAAUGUGAUUGUAUAGGUGGCUUAUUUGAAAAUUCUCAAGUUCUAAGCUCUUAGUGCUCAUUUUUUGGAUGAAGAAAUAGAAGCCUAAAUAGUUAAAGGUAUUAACCAUUCAUUUAUCCAGAUAUAUUCAGAGUAGCUAAUGUAUUGGAUACCAUGUUGAUAUUAGGGCAGGGAGGGUGUGAAGGCUAAGAUGAAGAGCACAUGACUGUGGUAUUCUAGAUGAGUGCAAUGUAGGGAGUCUAGCAAAUUUAUAGGCAAAGUCCUAUGGGAAUACUUCUCACUGUUAGACAAAAUGAAGAGAAUCUGAAAUUGUUACUCAUUUGUUAAUUUGUGUGUUAUCGAUCUCCCAACAUUUUAGGGUGAGCUAUACAAAGAAAACUAGAGUCUCUUUCUCUACCCAAUGAGAAGAACAUGUUCUGGCAUGUGGCAACAGCUCAACGAAUGCUUGCUAAAUUAACACAUGAUGUGAUUGGUUGGACUUAAAGGCUACAUGGAGGCCAGUUGUACUACUGAGGUAGCCUUGAAGACUAAUAUUUCACCAAAACAAGCUGGGGCCAUAAGGACCUCAGGACUGAAAUGAUGAAGUAGGUGGUCACAUUGGAAUGGGAGAUCUUCCUGACUGCCAUAAUGUAAGGGGUGUAAGAAAGAAGGGGGUGGGGAGAGAAGCUAAAAGAGAAGGGGCCCUUUGUGACAGACCUGAGAGUAUUGAUUUUGCCCCCCUCCCCCCCCCACCCCAUCUAUUGGGGAAGAGUGAAGCAGAUGUAAAUUUGAGAAAAAUCACUUGGGUAGCUGUGGAGGGAAUGAAUCAGGGAGAGCUUAUAAGAUCAUACUGAUGGUCACCAGUGGAGCUGCAGUUGGAAGAUCUUUCCUACUAUACAUGGUCUCAUUUCAGAGAGGCACGCUUUGCAAUUUAAAUUGAAAAAUGAGAGACAGUCAUUCAUUUGGUCAAUUAAGGGCCCAGUUUUGUGGGAUUCCUGGAGGCUUAUCUAUCAUUUUGUUUAGAAAGGUAAAAGGAAACCACUGUAACUAAUAGGUGUCAAUGCUCAGAUCCCAGAUGUUCAGUGUCUUCAAAGAUAGAAGGCUUGUUAGCAGGAAGUAUGGAGGUCCCAGAUAGCAGGCUGAUCAGUCCUAUUGUCUCUGCAUGGCACUUUUGAGUUAAUUUAUUUUCAUCCUAUUUGGUUAAAAGAAAAUUGUACUUACUUUUGAGGGAAAAAAAAAAAGACAACAUAUAUAAACUAGUUUUUAACAGCUGAAAUUAUUUUUAUGUCUGGGUUUGUUUUGCAUGAGUUUGAGUGGAAAGACGAAGGGUAUCUUCUUAUACACACAAAAAAUGUAUAACAUACUGAAUUGAAGAGUGUCUUUAUAAGCCUCUGCUUUAAUUAGUUUUUAAUUUAUACCCACCCUCAUCUAAAAGGAUUUACAAAGCUUUAGAUGUCAAUUAGUUUGGGUAGCUAAAAAAUAAUCAAUAUUCAUUCAGUUUUCUAUUGCGGUUAUAAAUUUCUUCUGAGAACUUAUCAACAUCCAUAUAAAGCAGAAAAAUCUUACAAUAGGAAUCUCUAUAAAUCCUAUUUGGGUGUCUUCCAAACUUUUUCUCCUGUAGCCAGUUAAGAUUAACCCAAAUGGAGUAGCUGAGCUUCAUUUAACUUAGGAUUGCUGUUUUUUAAACUGGUAUUGCAGAAUUUCUUCAAGAAUUAAUAUACUGGGGUUUUUGGGGGUUUUUUUGUUUUGUUUUAAAAUAAGACCAUUGGAUUAUGUUCUCACACUAGUAACUUACGUGAGUGAAUCAUUUAAGGAUAUUUGAAAUCCUUAAAGGCUUGGACAAGAACAAAAUGGACAAGAACAAAAUUAAUUUUGAGGUUAUCAGUAAUAGACAUCAUCAAUUUCUUCUGCAUUCUGAAUUUUAUUGAAUCAGUGUAUUAAAAUGUACAAAUUAACUUCGAUAUCACAUUGCUUAAUAAUUAUCUAAUGUAUUUGUCUCCCUCACCAACAGAGCAUGAGGUCCUUGAGGGCAGAGGUUUCAAUGUUUUGCCUAGCUUUCAGUACAAUGUCUUGGGUACACUUGGUACUUAGUGUUUGUUGACAAAUAAUUUCAGACACAGGAAAUGAAGUAGCUCCCACUAUAUUUUAGAACUGGAGGAGGCGAUCAGAAUUAUCUAGUCUAAUUCCACUAUUCUACAGAGAAAGGAGUUCCUGCUCAGAGAAGUCAGGUGCUUUCUGAUGAGCACAAAGCUCCCUGGGUCUUCUGACUCAGAUUGCAAUCCUUAUGGGUUUACACAUUUUUCAGUUUCUGAGUAUUUUGUCCCUGAUGUCUAGAAAUAAGUUUCAGUAUGUGAGAUAGAUCGAUCGAUCUACCUAUCUGUGUCUACAUCUACCUCUCUAUAUCUAUCUCAACUCAAUCUCAUGUUUAGGUAUCAGCAAUCCAAAGUACAGAAGUAUAAAGAGAGUUGACCACCAAUUCAGCGGCAAAUGUGCUGCUUUUGAUAAUCACCAUUGUGUUUCUGUAGAAGACCAUAGCUUCUAAGUCACUCGCAAAAUUAUGGAGAUAACAGAAUGAGAGCUAUUUUUCACACACCUCUCAUAUAAUAUUACAACUUAAAAAUAAGGUUUUCCUUUGAAUGAAAACAAAGAUGAUACACGGAAAAUAAACAGGUGCCUGUGGCAGGGACUGCUAUUUACCAGAAGUAGUUUCCUCAGUGUUCCUACAGAAUGCAUCACAUUACCCAGUGUUCAUUUCCCAGCUUCUAGAUUAUUCCUAGACCAUUUUACCCUUCACUUUCACACUGGUCAUAGGUAACCAAUCAGCACCCUCUGAAAGGUGCACUGAGGUACGACCAUGGGGCUAGGUCUACCUGGCUAGAAGUGAUAGAGUGCUUCCAAGAUUCUCUAUAAAAUAAUUCCUUGCUGACCCAGUCUUAUUUGUUAUGAACACGUACAACCUCCAGGGCCAACUUCUAAGUCCUGUAUUGAGGCUGUCAGAAAUCUCAGCAGUGUUAGUCCUGAAUAACUGCAGAUCAGAGGCUGCUGGUUGACCUGAAAGGCCCUUGGGCUAUGUCACAGGGACUCUUAUUGUUCUCAACCUCCAGGAAUACCCGGGGGCAGGGCGGCCCUUUGUUACAGCAGCUAGCAUUACUUUUAUCUCAAAUUUCUGUGAUGGAGGAAAACACUUCAUUCCUGUUAGCUAGAAAACUUCUAACAUCUGGAAUCUUCAGAAGAAAGAUGGACACUUUCUUUCACUUUCUUCCCCAGAUAUAUACAUGCGUCCAUACCUAAGACAGUCUUCAUUAAGCAUUGCCACCAUGAGCUAGUUAAGGCCUCAUUGUGCCGCAUGCCAUGGGGCAGUGGUCUCAAACCUUAGUACACCUAAGUCACCUUGAAGGCUUAUGAAACCAAGUAAGUGGGACUACUGUGUCUUUCAUCGAGAGUUUUUCAUUUUAUUAGAUCUUAGGUAGAGCCUAGAAAUUUGUAACAGGUUCCCAGGUGAGAACCAUAGCCAUAGGCUUCUAGGGUAGUCCUAGAUCUAUUUUUACCCUUUACUUUUUCACACGCUGGUCAUAUAUAACCAAUUAGCACCUCUAGAAGUUGUACAACCUGCUUAGCAAUAUGUCUGAUGAUAUACUGAAGUGAAGACAACAGGAUCUCAAAGCAGCUGCUUAGCUAACAACAGGAUGCUUCUCACUGUCAAAAUUGUUGAAAAUAGCAUUUGUGUGCCAAUAGUCUAUCCUGAGGGAGGAAAAUUAGCUUACAGGUAUACGAAGUCCUCUUUGUGGAAUGAACGGUAAGGUGGAAAUUCAUUUGAAGAUGAGAAGAGUUAUUAAAAGGGAAAAAAAAGGGAUCCCCGGGUGGCUUAGUGGUUUAGCGCCUGCCUUUGGCCCAGGGUGAGAUCCUAGAGACCCGGGAUCGAGUCCCACGUCCGGCUCCCAGCAUGGAGCCUGCUUCUCCCUCCUCCUGUGUCUCUGCCUCUAUCAUAAAUAAAUAAAUCUUUAAAAAUAAAUAAAUGGGAAAAAAUAUUUGUAAAGCACAGUCUAGGAUGCUGAAGAACAAGGCAUCAUUAUUAAAGAUUUACUGGAGGGAUAAAUAGAAUCUCACCCUAGCAUGAGAGGAAGUGGCCAGCCAAUUCCCCAGCAGAGAAUCCAUCAAAAGUUGUUAAAAAAAAAAAAAAAAAAAAAAAAAAAA